CGAACGCUUGCGGCGUGCCUAACACAUGCAAGUCGAACGAGAAAAUCUUGCUUGCAAGAUGAGUAAAGUGGCGCACGGGUGAGUAACGCGUGGGUAAUCUACCUUUGGGACAGGGAUAACACUUCGAAAGGGGUGCUAAUACCUGAUACGAUGCGAACUUCAUAAGGAGUCUGCAUGAAAGGUGACCUCUUCCUUGAAAGUUGCCGCUCGAAGAUGAGCCCGCGUCCCAUUAGCUUGUUGGUGGGGUAAUGGCCUACCAAGGCGAAGAUGGGUAGCUGGUCUGAGAGGAUGAUCAGCCACACUGGAACUGAGACACGGUCCAGACUCCUACGGGAGGCAGCAGUGGGGAAUAUUGCGCAAUGGGGGAAACCCUGACGCAGCAACGCCGCGUGAGUGAUGAAGGCCUUCGGGUCGUAAAGCUCUGUCAGGUGGGAAGAACAAGGAAAUCCCCAAUAAGGGUUUCCUUUGACGGUACCACCAGAGGAAGCACCGGCUAACUCC
This 501-nucleotide ribosomal RNA is filed under the name uncultured bacterium. RNAcentral's name for it is "bacterial SSU rRNA". It matches the Rfam family "Bacterial small subunit ribosomal RNA", at positions 30 to 504 of the family's 1533-position model. The record is from RNAcentral.